Seriola aureovittata is the source of this 1491-nucleotide RNA transcript. RefSeq lists it as uncharacterized. The record is from RefSeq and is a predicted model, not a curated record. Lineage: Eukaryota; Metazoa; Chordata; Actinopteri; Carangiformes; Carangidae. The transcript has 5 exons.
GAGUGAGUGAGUGUAUGUGUGAGUGAGGGGGUGAGUGAGUGAGUGAGUGAGGGAGUGAGUGAGUGAGUGAGUGAGUGAGUGAGGGAGUGAGGGAGUAGCACAAGCACCAGCUGACAAUGAGUGGCAGUGUCUGUUGUUUCAUCUGCCUGAACAGCCAGAUAAUCUGCCCUUUUUAUAUCCUCCAGAAUCUGGAAGAACCGUCAGCAGACAGUCCAAAAGUUGGUUCUGAACUGUCUUUGAGGCCUUUAACCACAGUGGCGGUCUUCAGGUGCUCCUCUACUACACCGUCCAGCGAGCCCACAAGGUCGACUAAUCCCCGAAAAAUGCCGGGGUUGUCGGACGAUGCUGUCUCAUCGCGGUCUCGCAAUGCCAGCUCAAAAGCUCCACAGAAUUUCACACACUCGAUCCUCGGUCCAGCUCUUCAUUGUGUUUUCUGACCGCGAUCCUGUGUCCUUCAUCCAGCUGCGCAGCUCUGCUAGUCCUGCCUAGCACGGCUAGCUUGACGGCGUUGUUCAUGUGCACCUUCGAGCAUUCAUGUUUUUAAAUCCGCUGAUAAAUGUUUUAGGUCUCUAACUCCUGUUACAGUCCAUGUAAUAUCUGCCCCCGGCAUUUUAAAAAAGUAAACACGGGAAGCAGAAUACUGCAUUUGCAAAACAACAUCGAGUUAGCCAAGCCUUCAUGUCAUACCGGUUCAGAGAGAAGCUCCUCUGUUGAAGGCUCUGACCUCCUCUCCCCAAAGAAGAGACUUGCCCCCCUCAGUGAGGAUGAGUAUGCAGAUACAGAGGAGACUGAUGUUCCCAUGAGAGAGGAGAAAAGCGUUACUUACCAUUGCCCUUUCUGUCAUACAUGCAGCUCCAUCUUAUUUGUGAUGUGGGUGAAAAUGAGGAUUCGAACAAGAGAGACUGAUGUGCCCAUGAGAGGAGAAAAGCAUUACUUACCAUUGCCCUUUUUGUCAUACAUGCAGACAAUAAACUGGCUGUUACCACGACCAGCAGCUUCAAGUGAUUAUUUACCGAGAAGACACACCAAAGACCGGUUACAUAUAGAAUGUUUGAAAUCCCUGACCAUCCUGCCUCGUCUCUGCCCCAGUAAACACCUGAGCCUUCUGUCCCCGACCACGAGUUCUGCCAGUGCGAGUCCUGUUCCCCGUCUGCCCAUCCCUGUGGCUGUUUGGCAUUCUCCAGCUCCCUCGAUGACAUCUCCAGCCUGCUCCCGAACGCUCGUCACCAACAGCCCCAGCCUUCGGGUCCACGAACUUUCCCGUGUGUGUGAGCUCAGUCAACUCGCUCCACUCACCGGACCCCCAGCUCUCCAGCCCCGGACCCCUUCCUUCCUCAACUACUAAUCCCCACCUGUGUCUGUUCUCUCUGCUGGUUUAUCAAUAAAGGUCAUUACAAACUAUCAAUCUGUUUGGUUGUGCUGCAAGUGGGUCCUAUCACACCCCGUUACAUUACUAUACUAUGAAUUGCUUGAAAUUUCUUUCAUGCCUUA